Molecule: non-coding RNA, 30 nt
Filed under: Mus musculus (house mouse)
Lineage: Eukaryota; Metazoa; Chordata; Mammalia; Rodentia; Muridae
Source: RNAcentral
UUAGUGUUCAUUAUAUACAAAAUUCGAGGU